CCUACGGGAGGCAGCAGUGGGGAAUAUUGGACAAUGGGCGAAAGCCUGAUCCAGCCAUGCCGCGUGUGUGAAGAAGGCCUUCGGGUUGUAAAGCACUUUCAGUGGGGAAGAAAGCCUUGGGGCUAAUACCCUCGAGGAAGGACAUCACCCACAGAAGAAGCACCGGCUAACUCCGUGCCAGCAGCCGCGGUAAUACGGAGGGUGCGAGCGUUAAUCGGAAUUACUGGGCGUAAAGCGCGCGUAGGCGGUCUGAUAAGCCGGUUGUGGAAGCCCCGGGCUCAACCUGGGAACGGCAUCCGGAACUGUCAGGCUAGAGUGCAGGAGAGGAAGGUAGAAUUCCCGGUGUAGCGGUGAAAUGCGUAGAGAUCGGGAGGAAUACCAGUGGCGAAGGCGGCCUUCUGGACUGACACUGACGCUGAGGUGCGAAAGCGUGGGUAGCAAACAGGAUUAGAUACCCUAGUAGUC
This 465-nucleotide ribosomal RNA is filed under the name Vreelandella stevensii. RNAcentral describes it as "partial 16S ribosomal RNA". It matches the Rfam family "Bacterial small subunit ribosomal RNA", at positions 338 to 795 of the family's 1533-position model. Lineage: Bacteria; Pseudomonadati; Pseudomonadota; Gammaproteobacteria; Oceanospirillales; Halomonadaceae. The record is from RNAcentral.